CCUACGGGAGGCAGCAGUGAGGAAUAUUGGUCAAUGGACGAGAGUCUGAACCAGCCAAGUAGCGUGAAGGAUGACUGCCCUAUGGGUUGUAAACUUCUUUUAUAUGGGAAUAAAAUGUUCCACGUGUGGGAUUUUGUAUGUACCAUAUGAAUAAGGAUCGGCUAACUCCGUGCCAGCAGCCGCGGUAAUACGGAGGAUCCGAGCGUUAUCCGGAUUUAUUGGGUUUAAAGGGAGCGUAGGUGGAUUGUUAAGUCAGUUGUGAAAGUUUGCGGCUCAGCCGUAAAAUUGCAGUUGAAACUGGCAGUCUUGAGUACAGUAGAGGUGGGCGGAAUUCGUGGUGUAGCGGUGAAAUGCUUAGAUAUCACGAAGAACUCCGAUUGCGAAGGCAGUUCACUGGACUGCAACUGACACUGAGGCUCGAAAGUGUGGGUAUCAAACAGGAUUAGAUACCCGAGUAGUC
RNAcentral lists this ribosomal RNA (460 nucleotides) under uncultured bacterium. RNAcentral describes it as "partial 16S ribosomal RNA". It matches the Rfam family "Bacterial small subunit ribosomal RNA", at positions 338 to 795 of the family's 1533-position model. The record is from RNAcentral.